GAAAUAUAAUUUUAAGCUGCUAACUUAAUUCUUAGUGAUUAAUUUCAUUAAUAUUUCU
RNAcentral lists this transfer RNA (58 nucleotides) under Agathymus mariae. RNAcentral's name for it is "tRNA-Ser". Lineage: Eukaryota; Metazoa; Arthropoda; Insecta; Lepidoptera; Hesperiidae. The record is from RNAcentral. RNAcentral also lists the same sequence under 6 other names.